This 253-nucleotide ribosomal RNA is filed under the name uncultured bacterium. RNAcentral describes it as "partial 16S ribosomal RNA". It matches the Rfam family "Bacterial small subunit ribosomal RNA", at positions 524 to 776 of the family's 1533-position model. The record is from RNAcentral.
UACAGAGGGUGCAAGCGUUGUUCGGAAUUAUUGGGCGUAAAGCGCGUGUAGGCGGCUUUGCAAGUCGGGUGUGAAAGCCCUCAGCUCAACUGAGGAAGUGCGCCCGAAACUGCAGAGCUUGAGUGCCGGAGAGGAUGGCGGAAUUCCCCAAGUAGAGGUGAAAUUCGUAGAUAUGGGGAGGAACACCGGUGGCGAAGGCGGCCACCUGGACGGCAACUGACGCUGAGACGCGAAAGCGUGGGGAGCAAACAGG